RNAcentral lists this long non-coding RNA (1291 nucleotides) under Carica papaya (papaya). Its description in RNAcentral is "long non-coding RNA (CPAP_LNC004735)". Lineage: Eukaryota; Viridiplantae; Streptophyta; Magnoliopsida; Brassicales; Caricaceae. The record is from RNAcentral.
CGGCAGCACUGGCAAGUCAAGCAAAUUAAGAAGAAUCAACUUACCCGAAUUCUCGGAGAAGCUAAGGUAUGAUAUAAACAGUUAAUUGUUAACAGAUUUUGACCAAUUUAAUCAGGGUAUCAAAGCAUGUUAUAAAUAACAGAUUAGGCCAUUCCUGAUAAUUAAAAGCAAUUUGGAUGAUUGAAGCAAUCGAUUAUUCAACAUUCAAAUUCAUAAAACUUAAUCUAUUAUUUAACAUUCAAAUUCAUAAAACUCAUAACAUUCAAAUUCAAACUUACUUGUGGAGAAGGAGAAAUGUGCCACACAAAAUAAAUGUUCCAGCAACAAGAAUCCAUCCUAGGAUCACGAGGCUACAAUGUAUAGAGAAUCAAUCGUUAGGAAAAGGCGUGAGGAAAAAGAAAAUCAAGUUUGUGGGAUAUAUCAGAGCUUUACUCACAUAUACACGAGAAACUGCAUUCCGAAAACUGAGAACACUGGAAAAAUGCAUAGAAUAUGAUUAGAUUACGCCAAAAUAUUGAUUUAGUCCCUGUACUUUUUUAAAAUAUUUAAAUGAGUCUAUGUACUUUUUUUUGUAAUGCCUUGUACUUUUAAAAAAUUUAUAUUUCAGUUAUUACCCGUUAAUGGUGUUAUUGGAGGUGCCACAUGGACCCAAACAGGCCAUGUGAUACAUUCUGAAUAUGUCGUCAUCCACAUCAGAUGGAUGACGUGGCAUCUUGACAUGGUAAGAUUUAACUUCUUAUAAAUAAGCCGGUCAAUCCAGGUUAAGAAAACACUAGGUUGAGUUAAUCAUUUUUAGCCCUAAAUCCCAAAUUCACCGAACCCUAAAUCUCCUUCGUCGUGCUCUUCUUCUCGGCAGGUUGCACAGAGAUCUCUUGUUAGUUGCGCUCUCUCCUUCUCGUUUGCUGGUGGCUUCUUCUGGUGCUUGAUUGUCCCUCGUCUCACUCACUGGUGGCUGCUUGUUGCGCUCUCAUUUGUUUGAGCAUCUUGAGUUCAUCUUCAGUUGUACUUUGAUUCAUUUGUUCUCACUUUAUUUGAAAUGCAAGAAAAAACUCAUGUCCUCAUACCCUAGGAAGUUAUCAUUAUAAUAUACAAAGGGUAGAAAGCAUCUGAAUAUCUUGGGUUGUGUGAUUGGAAAAGCACAUUUAGUUCACUGGAGGAGUCAUCAGAAGGAGUGGGGAAAGCUACCAGAAGGAGAUUGCAAACACUACUCCAAUCAGAGCGCAAGGAGGAAGAAUCACAACAGAGAAGGCGAGGAAGAAGAAGUGGUGAAUUUGAAAAUUUGAGAUUUUCG